RNAcentral lists this ribosomal RNA (673 nucleotides) under uncultured Pseudomonadaceae bacterium. RNAcentral's name for it is "SSU rRNA". It matches the Rfam family "Bacterial small subunit ribosomal RNA", at positions 74 to 743 of the family's 1533-position model. Lineage: Bacteria; Pseudomonadati; Pseudomonadota; Gammaproteobacteria; Pseudomonadales; Pseudomonadaceae. The record is from RNAcentral.
GGGAGCUUGCUCCUGGAUUCAGCGGCGGACGGGUGAGUAAUGCCUAGGAAUCUGCCUGGUAGUGGGGGAUAACGUCCGGAAACGGGCGCUAAUACCGCAUACGUCCUGAGGGAGAAAGUGGGGGAUCUUCGGACCUCACGCUAUCAGAUGAGCCUAGGUCGGAUUAGCUAGUUGGUGGGGUAAAGGCCUACCAAGGCGACGAUCCGUAACUGGUCUGAGAGGAUGAUCAGUCACACUGGAACUGAGACACGGUCCAGACUCCUACGGGAGGCAGCAGUGGGGAAUAUUGGACAAUGGGCGAAAGCCUGAUCCAGCCAUGCCGCGUGUGUGAAGAAGGUCUUCGGAUUGUAAAGCACUUUAAGUUGGGAGGAAGGGCAGUAAGUUAAUACCUUGCUGUUUUGACGUUACCAACAGAAUAAGCACCGGCUAACUUCGUGCCAGCAGCCGCGGUAAUACGAAGGGUGCAAGCGUUAAUCGGAAUUACUGGGCGUAAAGCGCGCGUAGGUGGUUCAGCAAGUUGGAUGUGAAAUCCCCGGGCUCAACCUGGGAACUGCAUCCAAAACUACUGAGCUAGAGUACGGUAGAGGUUGGUGGAAUUUCCUGUGUAGCGGUGAAAUGCGUAGAUAUAGGAAGGAACACCAGUGGCGAAGGCGACCACCUGGACUGAUACUGA